UGAAGCCCUUAUGAUUUGUUGUAAUGUUUCAGGAAUUCCUAUGUUCCAGGAAUUAUUUUCCAGCCAGUAUCGGGUGGAGGAGGUGGACUUGCCAUGGCACCAAUAUCUGCAAAUUCAUAUCAUCACGAUUUUUAGAAAACAUGCUUUUACACAUUCAAUGUGAUAUUAUAUUAUUAAAAAAUAAACUUAAAAUUUAAUUUAAUCUUAUAAAAUCGAGUAAUAUUUAUUUUUAUUUAUAUUUUAAGAAUUGUCUAUAUUUAUUAUUCAAAUAUUUUUUGUAAAGUUUUGGAUGAUUGAAAGACAGAGACAAACAUGGUCUUGCUGGAUUGGUUGGAUGAAGAAAGUGAAAAUGAUUAUGAGAAGAAUAAAUAAAGAUAAAGAGAGAGAAGAAAGAGUGGUCCGAGCCAUCCCCAGUUUGUGUGUGUUCAAUGCUCAAACCCAAACCCUAUUAAUAUACAACUUCUCCUUCAGAGUCACCAAGCCUAAAUUUGACAUAUUUUUGAAGAGACGAUGAUAUUUAAAAACUCUUUUUUAAUAACUUUUUUAUAACAGGACACGUGUCACCAUUUUAUUGGUCUAUUUGAAUUUAUUUUAAAAAAUAUUUGAAACGGACUAAUUACAAACCGUCACGUAUACAUUAUCAAAAAAUUAUAAAAAAAAAUUGUUAAAGAGACUUUUUCUUUUUUUAAGCUUCCAGUGAAAUUUUCCGAGGAAAAUUAGGUCAAUAAAGAUAAUAAAGGGAACACGUUUUGGCAGCAAAAAUGAAAAGAAAAAGUAACUUGCUUUUGCUUUUAACUUUUGCAUCAUCAUAUUGUAAUAUGAAUUAUUUAUCAACUUUUUUUAAGAAUCUAUUAAAAUUAAUCUCUUGUAAUUAUUUUCUUAUCUAUCCAUACUUUUUUUAUCACAUGCAAAAUUUCCAAUUAUAUUUUACUUCAAAGAGCUUUAAUCCAAAUUCACUUGGAGAAAACAAAUAUGUUAAUUGUAAAAUAAAAGUUCGAAGUAAUGUUAUUAUAAAAUCUAACAGAAACGUGUUAUUUAAAGGUAGGAAAGAAAGAAAAGAGCAUGCAAAAUGGGUUAGAUAUUUUGAAGCCGCGUUCUAACCUUAACUUCCUAUUGUCCUUGCCGAAAUUCAAUUGUUGCUACUUUAGAGGUUUCAUACUUUCAAAUAACAGGUUUCUGUUCAUUUUUCUACUAGAACGUGUUCCCUUUAUUAUCUUCAUUGAGCUCGUUUUCUAUGGGAAAUUUCACUGAAAGCUCAAAAGUAUGCCAAAUUUAGGUUUGGUGGCUGUGAAGCAGAAGUUAUAUAUUAAACACACACAAACUGGGGAAAGCUCAAAUAAAAAAUUAAGAUAUCCAUUAUAAAGUUCGUGAUUACGAGCAACCAAACAAAUCUGGUUUCAGCCUUCAAAAUAAACUGGAAUAUGGCUGGGAUCAGAGUUUCUUCUAAUUUUGUAUAUUUCCUUGUUCUGUUAGCAAUGGCAUUUUCUUUCUUUGCACAGCUUACUUCAGUUAGUGCAGGUUUGUGUAGCUACUACCUCUUUAAAAUAUGCAAACACAUAUGAACAACAUGUGUUUAGAAUUGUAAGAUCAUUAUCACUGUCAUUAGUGUUAGGUAUACGAUGAAUGCAUGAAAGUGUUUACCACGUUGGAAAUCCCGCAUCGACUAGAGAUAAGGCCUUAUUUGCACCUAAUUUAUGAUAGAAUAAAGAGAUUUUAUUUUUAGGUAAGUUGAUAUUUUAUCGUCAGUUUUUUUAUUAUUUGUAGUUGGUCCAAGACCUAAUUUGUACCUAUUUAAAGGUUGCCAAAGUUUAAUGAAAAUAACCCACAAUGGAUUGAAGAGUAAUAUUAUUUGUGUGGAUCAAACCCACAAUGGAUUGAAGAGUAAAAUUAUUUGUGUGGGUCACGCUAUGAGUGUGUAAGGGAGAUUUUCCCAACAGUAGUAUCAGAGCUAUGUUUUGUGGGGUUGAGUUAGGUCUAAAACUCACUUGUAACACUUCUAACAUACCACGUAAAGUAAAAGUAAAUUUUGUUGCAGUUAAAAGCAUAUUGUGUAUCUUGAAAAGUUUAUAACGUAGUGUGAUCUUGAUUUGCAGAUCUUAAAGUGAGAAAAUUGGGUGUGAUGCCAAGGUCUCCUCCUUCACCUGCGAGUAAUCCAUCUCAGCAUACAACCACCUGAUCUUUCUCCUCCAGCCAUUUAAAUUUUCAUUUCGUGCUUAUAUAUCUUGUUAUUGUUAUUGAAAACAUACUCAGUAUUUGGUCAGAGGGUUCUGACAUUCUUCUUCUUCUGCUGUUUCGUCUGUGUUUUGUAAUAAGUCAGGUUUCAGGCACUUUUGUUGGUUUUGAAUUGUUUUGUGGUGACUUCUUUAAUCAAUCUCUUCAUUUUGUUUUUUUUUUCAAUUGAAUCUUAUUUUUGAAAAAUUAAAACAAUUGCACUCUCUAUCAAACAUAUUUGGGUGUGGACUGAUAAAAAAUUAUUAAAUAAAAAAUCUUUUACCAAGAAAUUAUGAAAAUAUUUCAUCAUAAAAAAUUGUUAAAUAAAAACAAUCUCCUUUUAUAUAUAGGUUAGCAGAUGUAUGCAACAAGAAAAAUAAAAAAAAUAUAUGUUAGAAGAUGUAGAUAAAAAAGAAAAUCUCCUUUAUAUACGUUAGUGGAAACAAAUACACUACUUGUAUGUGUAUCUAUUUUUUUUAUUCUAACAAAAAAAAAUUAAAUUAUAAAAAUAUAAAUUUGUUUUAUCUUUUUAUUAUUAAAUAAUAAUUUAUUAUAAAUAAAUAUUUAAAUUUUAAAAACUGAUAAUUAAAAAGAUAAAAUAAUUAUUUUAGUUUAUAAAAUAAUUAAAUUUAGAUCACGACUAUUUAAAAGGUAAAAAUGAAAAUAUGAUUAUUUUAAUUUAAACUAAAGAUUAAAAUAAAAUUGAAAAGAAAAUAUUUACAAAACAAAAUGAUUUUUUUUUAUGCAGACAAAAUAAAAUCUUCUACGAUAUAGACAAAUAAUAAAAUCUGAAUCAAAAUUUUCAAAUGAUAAAAAAAUAGAUCUUUCUUGAACACUACCUAACGUAAUUUUGUUUUUCUAAAAAAGUAAAACUUAAUUAACAUUUGUUUUUAAAACAAAAAUUUAAUUGUGAUCUUUAUUUUUUUUCUUGGGAAAAUGAUAUUUAUAUAUAUACACUUUCAAAAUUCACCCUUAUCUAUUUCAUACUUUAUUUGAUGUCGGGGUUCAUUUAUCUAAUUCUAUAAUGUCAUUUUAUUUACAAAAUUGUCACCGAUCAUUUUUUAUUGAAUUUUUUUUUGUUAGAGGUUAAACACGUGAAGCUAUUUGCGUACUAAUUAAAAUUGUAUUUAUACAUUUUAACUUUUAAUAUUAAAAUAAGUAAGUUUUAUCGUUUAGAUCAUUCUAUCACUUCUUAUUCUUUAUUACCAACGAGAGUCAAGUUUGGAAUCAACUUGUAUAAAUGUGUUUUUAUAAUAUAUACUGUUUACUUUUCUUAUAGAGAGUCACAUUAACAUUCUGAAUUACACAUUCUUAAAGUAGCAAAAAAUUGUCUUCUCCGAGGACAGCUAUAAAUUUUACACAUUCUUACCACGAAGUUUCCUUUUAUAAUAGUUUUUUCUGGUUCGCCAUUUUAGACAAUUCCUCAAUUAGAAGCGGUGAAAAUUAAUACUAAGUAAAAUAUAAUUGGAAUUUUACAAGUGAUUAGAUAAGAAAAAAAAAUACUGCUAGUGAUUAGUUUUAGGUUCUAAAAAAAACUGAUAAGUAGUUCAUAUUGUAAUAUAAUGAUUCAAAAAAUAAAAACAAAAGCUAGUUAUCUUUUCUGUUGAUUUUUUGUACCAAAACGCGUUCCUUUGUUAUCAUUAUUGACCAAGUUUUAUAUGGGAAAUUUGAUUGAAAAGGUCCAAAGAAAAUAAAAAAUUUAGGUUUGGUGACUAUGAAGAAGAAGUUGUAUUUAUAAAUUGGGUUUGGAUAGCAAUAAAACGAACAUAAACUGAGGAUGGCUAGGACCACUCUUUCUUCUCUCUCUUUAUCUUUUUGUAUUCUCCUCAUAAUCACCUUCACCUUGUUCAUGCAACCAACUCCAGUAAGAGCAGCAGGUUUGUCUCUGUCAUUCAAUCAUUUCAUUUUUUUUUCCCAAAAGAAAAUUUACAAUGAUGAUCACUGAGAAAUUCAACCACAUAUACGUUUAAUACAUUAAAUACUGCAUUUCUAAUGUUUAGCGUAGAAAGAUGGUUUUAAAUUAUGGUUAUGAAAUAUUGGAUGUCAUAUUUGUAACUAGCAUUUGGUUGUGGAGACUAAGAAAAUCUUUGCAUUAAAAUAAUAAAUUUAAAUCUGACUGUUCUAAACAAAAACAUAUUUCAACUGUAGUAUCUUAAAAGGUUUAUAACGUGAUUUGAUCUUGAUUUGCAGAUCUGAAAGUGAGAAAAUUGGGUGCCAUGCCAAGGCCACCUCCUUCACCUGCAAAAAAUCCACCUUGUGGACUCCAUUGUUGACCUUACUGUUUUACCUUUGUUGGGAAAAAGAUAUUAGGUUUUCUCUAUAAAUCACACCACCAACAUAUUUAUUUGGGAUGCUGCUUGGAGAAGAAAUAUGUAUCAAAAUAUAAUAUGAAAUUCUCAGAGAUAUAUACGUCUUUAAUCAUAUGAAAUAUAGGAAUAAUAUAGUUUUUAGAAAAGAAAAGUUGGAUGCGGAGGAGAUAUUUAUCUUAACUUAAGGCAUGGGAUUGGAUUAUAAAUAAAAACUUAAAAGCUAAAUUUUUGUAUUCGGAUUGGUGGUUUUUCCCAUCUAUGUAUUUAAAGUAUACAUCUAGCUAACUGUACAAAAAAAACAGGGAAAAGAAAGUAGUGUAACUUUGUUUGGGUUAAACCAUCAAUAAAAGAGCAAUGAGAUAGAUUUAUAUGUAAAAGUUUUAUAUGAGUGUUACCUAAUUAGCCUUUUCAGAACAACAUGAAACUCUUUUUGGUCAAAUAGAUGAAUUUGUCAUCCAAAACACAUGGUUCAAAACAUGCUUUCUAACCUUUUUUAAACAUUUUAGUUUAGAACUACCUUUUAUAUAUAUAUAUAUAUAUAUAUAUAUAUAUAUAUAUAUAUAUAUAUAUAUAUAUAUAUAUAUAUAUAUACACACACACACUAGACAGAGUUUGAAAUGUUGCUAAAAUCAACAAUAGAGGAAACAAACUUAUAUAAUUUGAUAAUUGGACAUGGAAUACGCAAGGGAAAAAAUUGAAUUGAAGUCGAAUUAGCAUAAUUAACAUAGUUGGACCCUUUAAACGGUUGAAUUCAUCACCCCGUCGUCAAAGAAGAUUGGUAUCUUUAUGGAAAAACCAAUAGCAACUAAUUACGACCUCAUGCUUAUUAAUUCAUAUAUUUUAACGUCACGACUACGCUAUUUUACUCAUUUGAUUAUUGACUUCUGAAACUAAUUGUACCAUAUGACACCUCGCCCUUACUAGACGGACGGAAACUAUGGCCAGACAGACAGAAACUGUCAGACAAUCCUACAACCAUUCACACCACUGUUAGUCAUGCCUUGAUCAUAGGGUAACGGUUCGCCCACCAGACUUCACCCCCUGACUCCUUAGAACUUAAGGACGCAGAGGUACAAAUCUAUAGAACAGAUCCUAUCAGGUAAAGUCAUUCGGACAAAGUAUGUCACCGAACAAACGAAGCACCCGGAUAGGUCGUUCGGCAAUUGUCGAGAUCCUUGGGCUUCUCCGCAUUCCAUAAAAUAUUACCGACUGACGAAGGUUGCCCGGUUGAGGAAUGAUUCGAAGCAUCAGGGUAAGAUUAAAAUAAUAAACCUAAUUAAUGAAAUUGAGCCAAUAUACGGCCGAAAUUAGGGUUUUGCUAAUCACGGCCCACGCCAAAAACUAUAGAUAGAAGUCAAAGGUAAGAGGUAGUUGGGUUACAUUGAUUGUACAUUUACUCUGAAUUUCCACUUUCUCUUUCUAUCUCUAUCACUAAACUAAGUACUAACUUGAGCGUCGGAACACCUUUGACAGGUACCGGACUGACUGUUACCGGAAGAGUGUUGGAGGAUCGAAGGAUCAGGACAGGAUAACUCAGGAAGUGAAACCAGACGACUAUGAGGGAAAUUGUAUAGGUGUUGGAGUCAGACCAACCGUACAACCGAAACACUAAUAUUAAGAGCUCUGAUUUUCUUUUUUCUUCAUCAAUCCUGGUCUUCACUUGACAAAAUUCUCGGAGUCAUCCCCUGUUACAUUUUCUCAAUCAAAUUUUAGUAUGAAAUUUGGUCUUAGGUACAAUGUAUUGGGGUGGCUAGAAGAGCCUUUUUGUGUUAUUGCCUAAAUACCUUAUUGCUUUUAUAGCUUUAGGCGACUAGUGGUGGCAUGUCUUCCUUCCAUUAUUAUUAUUAUUAAUAUUAUGUUGCAUAAUAUAUAUAGUGAAGAAGACCUACCACUUCCUCAUUCAUAUCAUCUAUUAUUGGAAGUUUCACCGAAAGCUCAACCCAUUAUAAAGUGCCUAAUUACGAACAAAGCAUCACGCAAAUCUGGUUUCAGCCUUCAAAGUAAACUUGAAUAUGGCUGGGAUCAGAGUUUCUUCUAAUUUUGUAUGUUUCCUUGUUCUGUUAGCAAUGGCAUUUUCUUUCUUUGCACAGCUUACUUCAGUUAGUGCAGGUUUGUGUACCUACCUCUUUCAAAUAUGCAAAGACGUGAAUAACAUGAGUUUAGAAUUGUAAGAUCAUUAUCACUGUCAUUAGUGUUUGGUAGAUGAUGAUGAUGAUGAAUUAAUUAGUGCAUGAAAGUGUUUAGCACGUAAAGUAAAAGUACAUGUUGUUGCAGGUAGAAGCAUAUUAGGUAUCUUGAAAAGUUUAUAANCAGGUUUGUGUAGCUACUACCUCUUUAAAAUAUGCAAACACAUAUGAACAACAUGUGUUUAGAAUUGUAAGAUCAUUAUCACUGUCAUUAGUGUUUGGUAGAUGAUGAUGAUGAUGAAUUAAUUAGUGCAUGAAAGUGUUUAGCACGUAAAGUAAAAGUACAUGUUGUUGCAGGUAGAAGCAUAUUAGGUAUCUUGAAAAGUUUAUAAUUAACGUGAUAGCUGUGAUCUUGAUUUGCAGAUCCGAAAGUGAGAAAAUUGGGUGUGAUGCCAAGUCCACCUCCUUCACCUGCGCGUAAUCCAUCAUGGCAUACUCGACCUCCUCGUCUUCCUCCUCCAUCCAUUUAAAUUUUCAUUUUCUGCUUAUAUCUUGUCAGAGGGUUCUGACAUUCUUUUUCUUCUGGUGUUUAGUCUAUGUUUUGCAAUAAGCCAGGUUUCAGGCACCUUUUGUUGGUUUUGUAUUGUUUUCUGGUGUACGUUGUUGACUAUAGUUUUUUACUGUUUGGUUUGUGUGUUGCACCCUUUAAUAUAUAAUUAUCUUCUUUGUUGGGAAAAAUAUAUUAGGUUUUCUCUAUAAAUCUCACCACCAACAUAUUUAUUUGGGAGACUGCUUGGAGAACAAAUAUGUAUAAAAAUAUAAUAUGAAAUUCUCAGAGAUAGAAGAAUGAGAAGCUGAACAAAAUCAUUCAAAAGAUGUACAAAUUGGACGAAAGACCGAGUAAAACCCAUCUUCGUUUUUGGAAUCAUUAAAUCCAACUUUUGCCCAUAACAUUAUGAUAAUCUGAGGGUUCUGUAUCUCAUAAUCAAGCUCGAAUGCGAACAUACUCUCAGCAUGUUCAGCUAAGGGAAUCACAACAAGACAAUGACAUUGUUGCGGAAGCCUCACUCCGAGUUUGUCCAGUCUCAUGUGUUUCAAAACGGCUCUUCACUCUUCUUUGGCUCUUCAAUUUUAUCUUUUUAUUUAGUAAAAUUAGAAGCAACCAUGCAUGAAAUUAAGUUAGAGGAAAACCUUUAAGCAACCAUGCACGAAAUUAAACUAUUGUCUAUGGUAAAAUUCUAAAUUUUUGUAGUGGUUUCAACUAUGAUUUUUUUUUUUUAACUGAACUUGAUUAUAUGAAAAUCACAAUAUCUUUGUACUUUUUUUCUAAACUUUCUACCUAUCUUUUUAUAUCUUUUACUCUAAUCUUCAUAUCUUUUGAAGAUUAAGCACAGUAGGAAUGUUCAUAAUAAAAAAAUUUAUGCGUUUAACUCCUUUUUUUGUCUAUUUUGAGUUGUUUUACUCUUUAAAUUGCAUGUAGGUUGUAUGGCUAUUGCAUGUGAUUCAAAGACACUCUAAGUAGAUGUCUAUUGUUUUGUGAUAACUGUAAUAAAUUUAGAUUUCUAAUUGAGAUUUUAAUCUUUAAUUAACACUACCACCAACGUACAUACUUUGGUUAUAUAUAAUCAUCUCUGCAACGUUCCAACGCUUGUCCCACAUAACCGUUAUUUUAAAUCCCAACAGAAUAAUAUUUUAGUUAAGUGGCUCGUCCACCUGCACCAUUUUUUUUUCAACUUUAUUAACAAAACGUGUUCCCUUUAUUAUCUUUAUUGACCUAGUUUUGUAUGGGAAAUUUCGUUGAAAAAGUUCAAAAGAAAAGCAAAAUUUAGGUUUGGUGACUCUGGAGGAGUUGUAUAUUAAUUAGGUUUGGGUUUGAGCAUUGAACACAGACAAACUGGGGAUGGCAAGGACCACUCUUUCUUCUCUGUCUUUAUCUCUUUGUAUUCUCCUCAUAAUCACCUUCACUUUCUUCAUAUAACCAACUCCAGUAAGAGCAGGUUUGUCUCUGUCAUUCAAUCAUCGCAUUAAUUUAGUGUAAUGAUUAAGUUUGGUUGUAGAUAUGCAUAUUGAGAUUAUGAGAAGUUGUUUAAAUUUGUAGAUUUGAAGAUGAGAAAGUUGGGUGUACACCCAAGACCACCUCCUCCACCCAAGCGGGCAUUCCAAUUCAAACCACCAAUACAUAAACCUCGGCCGCCGCCUCCAUUUCACAAACCAUAAGAUCUUCAAUUAUUAUGUUUCCCUUCAGCUACUUUCUUUCUCAUCAUUUUCACUGCUUUUAUUUUAUACCAUUGAGUUUAAUGUAUAAUAUAAAUAACAUUAGUAAGUCAAAGUUUCACUCCAAACAUGAAUGUAUGUGCAGGUUGGACUCAAAAGAGGAAAGACACUAUAUAUUUUGUUUUUUAGUUGUUAUUUUGUUUAUAUAUAGGUUUACAGCAUUAGGUUUUGUUUGUACUAGGCAUAUUGAAUGCAAAAACGUGGUAAUGUACCUUUUGUUGGUUUUCGAUUGUUUUGUUGUUAAUGUACAUUGUUGUCAUAGCUUUUUUAUUGAUGGGUUUGUGUAGUUGCACCCCUUUAGUAUAUAAUUAUCUUCUUUAUGGGGAUAAUCUGCAUAUGGUUUUUGUAUCUCUUGGACCACAAAUCCUUGGUGCGUAAAUGUAAGAUGGAUUUCAUUUUAUUAAUAUAAUCAUGUUGCUUGUAAUAAAAAGAAUUACACUAGUUAUAACUUCAAUUAAGAUAAAGAGAAAAAGAGAGAGAGAGAUGGUGUCUAACUUUGUAAUAGAACACUAAAAAAUUUGCCAUACACUAACUUUGUAAUUGUUGGAAGUCCCACAUCGACUAGACAUAAGGUCAAUUUAUAAUAUAUAAGUGAGGUGCAAACCUCAUCUUACAAAUUGAUUUUGUGAGGUUGAGUUAGACUUAAACUCACUUUCUAACAUGGUAUCAUACCUAACUAAACUUGUGAACUUUUAAAAAAAAUCUACAUCAUUUUGAUAAAUAAACUAUAAUAUGAUAUUAACAUAAAUAUUUUUAUUUAUUAAAAAAGUUAAAAUCACGAUUCGAAUUGAUUAAGUCGUCUUUAAUCUUGUAGUGAAAAUCUAUACGUUUUAUAUAAUUUAAAGUUAAAUUUAAAUAUAUUUUUAUACUCCUUUACCUUUUAAAAAAAUUAACCUUUUUGAAUAAUAGUGAUAGAGCUAAAUUACCCAACUUUACUAAUAUUAUAUUUUGACUAUUACUAUAUUUUAUUGAAGUCAAUUUGUAGUGACAGAUUUGAACAUUAAGGGGAUGCCUAGAAUUUUUUCUUUUUUUUCUUCCCAUACCUUUUUAUGUUAGUUCUUAAUCAAUGGAAAUAUACAUUUGUGGUGCAUAUAUAAAAGUCUAAAUACCUUAUAACUUUUCUAUCUUUAGGCGACAAUGUAUUCCAUUAUCAUUACUAUAAUAAUCCUAUGUUGCCUUAUAUUCUGAAGAACACCUACCACUUCAUCAUUAGCAGUUGUCCUUAUCAUCUAUUGGAAAUUUCACCCAAAGCUCGAAUAACUAUAAUUAAAUAUGCAUUAUAAAUUGCGUGAUUACGAAUUCCUGAAAUAUUACAACAAAUCAUAAGGGCUUCAAGUUUUCUUUUAUUCUCAUUUUGUUUAUCAAUAUUUACUGUAUUAGGUUUUAUGUUAUAAAUAUGACUGUGUAAGACUAAGAAAAGAUUUAACUUGGAUGUUAUGACAAUUAUAGAUUAUAAGGAAAUUAAACCCUUUUUAUUAUUGAUUUUAUUAUAAGGAAUUGGAUAAUUAUUCAUAAUAAUUUUGUGCAUUCCUUCUUUCAAUAAUUGAAAUAAUUACUAAAUAUGAGUAUGUAUUUACUUUUUACAUUAAUAAAAAAUUAAAAAUAUAUUAUAAGAUUAGAUAUUAUACUGCUUAUAAAAGUACACAUAGUUAUUAUUUCAAAAUAAUUAUAAAAUAAAUAUUUAUAUUAAAUUUUAUAAUAUUUUAAUUACAAUGUACUUGAUGAUAAAUAUGAUUUACUAUAGGUAGAUCUUUUAGAAAUAAAAAUAAUUAACAUAAAGGAUCAUAUGAGAACCUAAAACAUACUCUAAAAGUUGUAUUGUUUUUUUAAAAGAGAAUAUUAUAAUAUUUUAAUGAUAAAAUGUUUUAACUAUAAAAUUUUAACUGAAGUUCAUUUUAUGUAAACCACCAUUUCUUUAUAUUUUUUUUUCUAAAUUUUCUCAUUAUUUUUUAUAAUUUUUUAUUCUAAUCUUUAUCAUUUUGAAGAUUAAGUACCGUAGAAGUGUUUUUAAAGAGUUUUACACAUUUAACCAAUCAAAGUAUAUUCCUUCUUUGUUCCUUUUGUGAUAUUUUGUUCUUUGGAUUGCAUAUAGAUUGUAUAACUAUUGCAUGUUAUUCAAAGGUACUCAAAAUGAAGCUCUAUUGUUAUGUGAUACUGUUUUCUUUACAUUUUUAAUUGGGGAUUUAAUAGUUUAGUUAGAUUAUUUUGUGAGAAAAGAAACUUUAAUUAGGGUUUUAAUAGUUUAGUUAGAUCAUUUUUGUAAGAAAAGAAACUCUAAGAAGCAUAUGUGAAGAAAAAAAUAUCAAUUAAAUUAAGAUAAGUAUAGUUAACCUUAAUCUCUACAUAUUUGAGUUAUGUUGUUUGAAUUAUUAGGUAUUUUAAAUCCCAACUCAAUAAUAUUUUAGCUAAGUGGCUCUCCCACCAGCACCAUUUUUUUUCAACUUUAUUGACAACUGAUCAUUAUCUUUAUCUGUGUCUUUCCUUUCCAAUAAUUUUGGAUGAUGACAACUCAUCCAUUCUUAUUAUCGAGAGUGCAGGGCAUUUCAUUAUUGUGGUCGAAAAUUUAAACGGUGCAUGGUGUUCUUAUGUAACAUGAGGUGUGUCAAGUAUCGAAUUUAGAUAACAUAGAAAAGACUUCGAAUGAAGAAACUCAGAUUUUAUAACAUUUUGUUGGAUUCAAAUAUUGAUAUUAGAAAGGACAUCAAACUUCAAAUUAUCAAUGUAUGUAAGAUUAUUAGCUUGCAAGUCCAAUUAAAAUCUUCCUUAUCAGUAAUUUUAUUGCAAAAACGUUUGUGAAUAAAUUCGAAUGUUAUAAUCUAUAAAUAAAUUUGUAUUUAAUUAUUUAGAAAUUUAUAUAUAAGAAACUUUUGUUACUAUCAUUUUAUUUACAAACUUUUAUUUAUAAGAAAUCUUUAUAUACAGAUUUUGUGACUUAUCUAUAACUUUUUUUUUUUUUUGAAAGGAAUGCUUUUUUUUUUCUUUUAUAGUGAUAGCUUAAUAACAUUACCUAGCACUUUCCUUUUAUAAUAGCUUUUUAAGAUUGGUCACUUACACAAUUCUUCAAACAAGAGUUGUCAAAUUAACAUAUUUGUUUUUUCCCUGAAAGCUCAAAAAGAUGGCAAAUUUAGGGUUGGUGACUGUGAAGCAGAAGUUGUAUAUUAAUUGGGUUUUGGUUUCAACAUUAAACACACAGAAACUGAGAUGGCUAGAACCACUCUUUCUUCCCUGUCUUUAUUUUUCUGUAUUCUCCUCAUAAUCACCUUCACUAUCUUCAUGCAACCAAUUUCAGUAAGAACAGGUUUGUCUCUGUUACUAAAUCAUCCAAAACGUAAAUUAAAGAGGAGAUUUAUAAAUAGAUUUUGUAAGAUUAAAUUAGUUUUUAAAUUAAUUUGUAAUCAUAUAAUUAUAAUGACUUUGGAUGUGUAAAAGUAAGAUUUCUGAAUGAUAUGAAUUUGCAGAAUUGAAACUAAGGGGUCCCAAGCCAAGACCACCUCCUUCACCCACGCCUAACUCGCACCCAGUUCCUGGUGAUCCUGGUAAUCCUUCAUCCAACCAUGGCUGAAAUAUUACAACAAAUCGUAAGGGCUUCAAGUUUUCUUUGGAUUCUCAUUUUGGUUAUCAACUUUUACUGUAUUUGGUUUUAUGUUAUAAAUAACACUGUGUAAGACUAAGAAAAGAUUUACCCUGGAUGUUAUGCACAAUUAUAGAUUAUAAGGAAAUUAAAACCUUUUUAUUAUUCAUUUUAUUUUUACUGGGAUUUUAGCAAUCGAUUACCAAAAGUAUGGUUAGGAAUUGGAUAAUUAUUCAUAAUAAUUUUGUGCUUUCCUUCUUUCAGUAAUUGAAAUAAUUACUAAAGUAUGUAUUUACUUUUUACGUUAAUAAAAGCUUAAAAAUAUAUAUUAAAAGAUUAGAUGUUAUAUUGAUUAGUAAUUUAAAUAAUCUUUAUUUUAUAAAUUAGCUUGACAAAUUAUUUUUUAUAAUUUUUUAUUCAUAUUUUAGAAACCAAUAAUCUUUAUUAUUGUAACAUCCCAAAAAUAUGUGUAUAAUUUCAUAUCAAGUGGAAUGCAACAUGCGUAAUAAAGUAAAGCAGUUAAGAGUGAUAGCAGAUGAAGUGUAUAUGAUAUACAGUCAUCCAAAAUAAAAUAAGAUAGUAAAGCUCUACAUAUGGCAUAGAGUCUUUCAAAAGAAGAAAAGAGUAAAGGAAUUAAACUAUACAAAUAAAACUAACAACCUAGACUACUCAGUUGCAGUGUCAGGGACUUCAGCCCUAUCAGCUACGUCUAAAACCUGCUCCAGAGGGGUCUCUGAAAUAUCUGCUCACAUCCAAUUUGGAUGAUCAUUGCAAAAGAAAACAAGCACAAACAAGAACAAGCAGCAAACAAAGCAAGGGUAAGCUAGAAUUCAAUGAAAACAAGUUAAUUACAAUUAAACAUAGUAAAAGAGACAUACAAUACAACAAUCAAGGAAGAACAGUUUAUUUAAUUUAUGGUUUGUUGUUUUAUUAAGUAGUGUUAGACUUAGACUCGUCCGGACCCGGAAUGAAUAUCGAGCUAUGGCGGGUCAUGCACUUGUGGUGGCCUCUACUGCUUUGCAAAGUCAUUGCCAAUGGGUUUCACCCUACCACACACAAGGUUAUCCGUUAUCACUCACCUUGGCCCAUAUACAAUGGAGACAACCAAGACUAGGACCCCUACUGCUCUUCACCACAUGAACUACUCUUCUCUAAGUGAGAUUGAAUAGUCAUUAGAGCUUUAAGGGCAACCCCCAAGACUGAGCUACCUAUANNNNNNNNNNNNNNNNNNNNNNNNNNNNNNNNNNNNNNNNNNNNNNNNNNNNNNNNNNNNNNNNNNNNNNNNNNNNNNNNNNNNNNNNNNNNNNNNNNNNNNNNNNNNNNNNNNNNNNNNNNNNNNNNNNNNNNNNNNNNNNNNNNNNNNNNNNNNNNNNNNNNNNNNNNNNNNNNNNNNNNNNNNNNNNNNNNNNNNNNNNNNNNNNNNNNNNNNNNNNNNNNNNNNNNNNNNNNNNNNNNNNNNNNNNNNNNNNNNNNNNNNNNNNNNNNNNNNNNNNNNNNNNNNNNNNNNNNNNNNNNNNNNNNNNNNNNNNNNNNNNNNNNNNNNNNNNNNNNNNNNNNNNNNNNNNNNNNNNNNNNNNNNNNNNNNNNNNNNNNNNNNNNNNNNNNNNNNNNNNNNNNNNNNNNNNNNNNNNNNNNNNNNNNNNNNNNNNNNNNNNNNNNNNNNNNNNNNNNNNNNNNNNNNNNNNNNNNNNNNNNNNNNNNNNNNNNNNNNNNNNNNNNNNNNNNNNNNNNNNNNNNNNNNNNNNNNNNNNNNNNNNNNNNNNNNNNNNNNNNNNNNNNNNNNNNNNNNNNNNNNNNNNNNNNNNNNNNNNNNNNNNNNNNNNNNNNNNNNNNNNNNNNNNNNNNNNNNNNNNNNNNNNNNNNNNNNNNNNNNNNNNNNNNNNNNNNNNNNNNNNNNNNNNNNNNNNNNNNNNNNNNNNNNNNNNNNNNNNNNNNNNNNNNNNNNNNNNNNNNNNNNNNNNNNNNNNNNNNNNNNNNNNNNNNNNNNNNNNNNNNNNNNNNNNNNNNNNNNNNNNNNNNNNNNNNNNNNNNNNNNNNNNNNNNNNNNNNNNNNNNNNNNNNNNNNNNNNNNNNNNNNNNNNNNNNNNNNNNNNNNNNNNNNNNNNNNNNNNNNNNNNNNNNNNNNNNNNNNNNNNNNNNNNNNNNNNNNNNNNNNNNNNNNNNNNNNNNNNNNNNNNNNNNNNNNNNNNNNNNNNNNNNNNNNNNNNNNNNNNNNNNNNNNNNNNNNNNNNNNNNNNNNNNNNNNNNNNNNNNNNNNNNNNNNNNNNNNNNNNNNNNNNNNNNNNNNNNNNNNNNNNNNNNNNNNNNNNNNNNNNNNNNNNNNNNNNNNNNNNNNNNNNNNNNNNNNNNNNNNNNNNNNNNNNNNNNNNNNNNNNNNNNNNNNNNNNNNNNNNNNNNNNNNNNNNNNNNNNNNNNNNNNNNNNNNNNNNNNNNNNNNNNNNNNNNNNNNNNNNNNNNNNNNNNNNNNNNNNNNNNNNNNNNNNNNNNNNNNNNNNNNNNNNNNNNNNNNNNNNNNNNNNNNNNNNNNNNNNNNNNNNNNNNNNNNNNNNNNNNNNNNNNNNNNNNNNNNNNNNNNNNNNNNNNNNNNNNNNNNNNNNNNNNNNNNNNNNNNNNNNNNNNNNNNNNNNNNNNNNNNNNNNNNNNNNNNNNNNNNNNNNNNNNNNNNNNNNNNNNNNNNNNNNNNNNNNNNNNNNNNNNNNNNNNNNNNNNNNNNNNNNNNNNNNNNNNNNNNNNNNNNNNNNNNNNNNNNNNNNNNNNNNNNNNNNNNNNNNNNUGUCUUUGAAGCUUAGAUGAACUAGGAAGCUGUUAAUAGAGAGUUUGUUGGUCAGAUUUUUGGAAGCAAAAUGGAGAGAUAUCAGAUUCAAAGAGAAGAGAAAGUUGAAAUGGGUGAAAAUGCUUUUCAGAUAGAGGAAGAGUUAAACUUGAAGUGGUUUUUAUUUUGUAAAAAAAUUGUUCAAUCCUUCAUUUGCUGCCACGUGUGAACCCCAACCCCUUUCUUUUCUAAUUAACAUUUUCAGGUUAUUACAUUUAUUAUAAAUUAGUCUGACAAAUUAUUUUUUAUUUGUAAAAGUAAUUACUAUUUAAAAAUAAAAUUGUAGUGACGUCGCAAUCCAUAUUAACACAGUGUAUUCCAAAAAGUUAAAAAAGAAGACUUUUUUUUUUUAUGUACUUCCAAAAAUACCAAAAUAAUUCAAUCACAUAAAAUACCACAAUUAACUAUUAUCAGUAAUGAAAAUAGAAAGGGGGUUUAGGGGAAAAUAUAUCAUCGACAAAGUUAAUAAAACAAGAAACAAAACAUAUAGGCGAAAGUAAUCCAAAAAGUUAAAGCCGAUGUUAGUGUUUAGAGAACAACUAAAGUAGAUUUCGACCCUAAUAAUAGCCUGCAAAAUAAAAUUUAUACAUAGACUGGCCCGUUACAAAUAAAUGUAUUUCUUGAAAAAUAAAUUUUUACGAGAAAUGCAUUCAAAUAAGACAAAAAAAAUAAAUUAUAUUUUUACUCUAAUUAUUUUUAGUUUAUUUUGGUUCACUACUUCUGUCUUAAUUAGGAAAUUUUUGAAAGUUUCUUUUUAUUGAAAAAAAUUAUUUACAAAAAAAUAGACUGGUUCACCAAUCAGUCAUGAAAUGAUCAUAUAUAUACUAAAUCUAUGAUGCUUCCAGUAAAAUUAAAAUUGAUAAUCUCAGACUUAGCUAUGAUUUUUUCUUUUAUAAAUUUGAAAACAUAUUAUUAAUUAAAAUUAAGAACUUAAAUGAAAAAUAGAAAAUAUUUUGAAAAUAUCAAUUUAUUUGUUCUUAAGUUAACAUUUAAGUAUUUACUUCUAGGAUUCUUAUUAGGAAUUUUCACCCUGCUUUUGAUUUAAUUUAAUGGACAAAGAUUAAUUUUUGAUUAGAUGCUUAAAUUAAAAGAAAACUACAAAUAAAGAUAGAAAUUAACUUUUUUAAGUUGUUCUGAAAAUAGUUUCAUCUUUUCUCUUUUUUAUAUGUAACUCUACUUUUAAUGAUAAUACUUUUUAUAAUGUUUCCCUUAUAAAAAUAUAGAGUCGUGUAUUAAUUAUUGUCUAAUUUUUUGUUAAUUACUAUGGAUGUAUAAUAGGUUUGAAAGAGACUUUUAUACUGGGAAUUAAAGUGUUUAUAACCAAAACUUGUGUACACGACUGUUAUUACGAUGACGAGGAAGUGCGAUAUCCCUGUAUUAAUUAUGUUAAUUAAGUGAGAUAAAAAAUUAUAAAAAGAAGUUAUUCAAGUUUAAAGAUUUCAAGAUGAACUAUUUUUUAUAUAUAUGCUAAUAGAGAAAUUAACGACCUAUCUCAUUAAUAUAUUAUCUGAAUAUUUUAUAUGAUUUAUAUUAUGCAUGCAAUGAAUAUUAUAUCUCAAAAGUUAAACUAAAUUAACUCCUUAAGUCAUGAAAUUUGAGGUUCGAUUUAAACAAAUGAUUUCUCAAACUAUAUAUCAAAAUAUAAUUUUUGUUUCUUAGAGUUUGGUUCAACUAAUAAAUUUAAAGCUAUUGUUUAGAGAUAUUGGAUUAUUUUUUAUCCAAAACAAAUUUAGAAAAUGUUUUCAAUUAAAACCAAUAAUCAAAUAAUAAAUUAUCAAAUCAAUUUAGCAUUAGGAAGAAAAAUAUCAUAACAUUAAACAACAUUUUACAGACAUAAACAUAAGUAGGAUUGCAUAAGAAUUUAAUGAAUUUCAUCAAUUCCAACAUUAAGGAAUGUGAGGAAAUGUAUGUGCAGUGUAAUCAAUUGAACAUAUGGACUCAUAGGAAUAAUAUAUUUUUUGGUCAAAUAGAUGAAUAUCUGAUCUAAUCAUGGUUCAAAAGAUUUCUUUUUAACCUUUUUCAAACAUUGUAAUUUAAAACUAUCUUUUGUAGAUAUGAUCUGACAAAUAACAAUUAAGAUGCUCAUACUCUUAUUUGGAUCAUACUAAAAAAUUUCUUUUAAAUCAAACUUGACAUUCCUAAAGAAGAUACUAUUUCUCUAAUUCCCUUCCAUAAAUUCCACACGAAAGCAAUCCAAGUCUCCUCCAUAGCAUAUUCCCUUUAUGUUAUUACUCGGUCAUUCGUGUUGUUAUAUGAGGAUUUCCAAGACUACCAAGUUAUUGGUUUGAAUUAGGUCUUAGGUACAAUGUAUAAGGGUGGCUAGAAGAGCCUUUUUGUGUUAUUGCCUAAAUACCUUAUUAAUAUUAUGUUGAAUAAUAUAGUGAAGAACACCUACCACUUCCUCAUUCAUAUCAUCUAUUGGAAGUUUCACCGAAAGCUUACCCCAUUAUAAAGUGUCUGAUUACGAACAAGCAUCACACAAAUCUGGUUUCAGCCUUCAAAAUACACUGGAAUAUGGCUUGGAUCAGAGUUUCUUCUAAGUUUGUAUCUUUCCUUGUUCUGUUAGCAAUGGCAUUUUCUUUCUUGCACAACUUACUUCAGUUAGGGCAGGUUUAAAGAUGAAGGUUACUUAAACUUUAAGCUUGCUUCCACUCCUUGUGACUAUCGUACAAAGCUCAGCACAAAUUAUGGCCAACCUCUAAAUGAUGCAGCUUCAUCUUCUUAUAGACGAUUGAUUGGUAGAUUAUUAUAUCUCACCAACACUAAACCAAAUAUUUCAUUUGUCGUACAACAACUAAGUCAAUUUCUCCCAGCAAUAACAUCAUUCAGUUGAAAGGCUUCAGCGAUUCUGAUUGAGCAGGCUACAUUGAUACCAGACGAAGUAUCACUGGUUACUCUAUAUAUCUUGACUCUUCACUUAUUUCAUGGAAAUCGCAGAAACAAGUCACUGUAUCCAAAAGUUCCUCAGAAGUGAAUAUAGAGCUCUUGUCACAGCUACUUGCGAAAUUUAAUGGUUAACUUUUCUUCUAUAGGAUCUUCACGUAACUUUUCAACAACCAGCAGUCUUGUUUUGUGACAACAAAUCUGCUCUUCAUAUUGUUGCAAAAUCCAGUUUUUCAUGAAUGCACGAAACAUAUUGAAAUAGAUUGUCAUAUUGUAAGGGAAAAACUUUCUUCUGGCUUACUUAAACUACUCUCGAUUCCCUCUGCAUGCCUGUAGCUGAUAUCUACACCAAAGGACUUUCUCCAAUAGCCUUCAAAUUUCUGUUUUCCAUGUUGGGAAUGAUUGACAUUCAUUUUCCAGGGGGCUGUGAUAAUGACAUAUUUUACCAUGAUUUCAGUGAUGAAUCAAGAGAAAAUGUCAACCCUUUCUUAACUUUUUACCUUGUAAAUCCUAGUUUUCUUUUAGUUUAUUAAGUGGUUGCACCCCAAGNUUUAAUGAGAUAUUUUGUUUACUAAUCCUUGCUUUCAUGUGCUUAAUGGAAUUGGAAGAAGUCUAUGCAUCAAAUGAAGGCAUUGGAAACCAAGAAAAGCAAGAAGAGCAACAAAAAUGAAGAACUAGAAAUCUGUUGAAAUCAGGCUCGAGCCCCCCUGGCCUAAGGGGGCUUGAGUGCCAGUGCACCAAUACCUCAGUUUGACUGUCGUGCGCCUGAGCGCCCCAUUUUUGGGGGGCUUGAGCGCCAACUUUGUUGACAUGGCAGAUUUGCCUUAUUUCACUUGGAUGCACGAAGAGCUUUGGAUCUUUUGCCACCCAAACGCGUUUUCUCUCUGUUGGAGCUCUUGGAGGCGAGCUAGGAGCUGUGGGAACAGUCCUUCUUCAUCCUUGGGUUCUCUUCUUUCUUCCAUUUCCACCAUUGUUGUAAGCUUGAGCUCUCCAUUCAUGGAUGGCUAGUUUCAUUAUUGUUGGGGGAUUGUUGUAGCCACUGAACUCUUAUGUAAAUCACUUUGUUUUGAAUGAAUAUAUGCCUUUUUCAUUGAUUGUUAGUGUUUAACUCCUUCUCUUAAUGCUUGNUGUGAAGUAGCUACCCAUGACUUGAUUUUAGGGUUUGCUUAAUAUUGGUAAAUGUUGAGUAAAUCCGGACUUGGGUUAAACACCUAAAGGAAAUAGUGUCUAGGGAUAGAACUAGGACCUUUGGUUGUCUUAAAUCUCAUUUCUUAAUGCGGAAGAACUUGUUAGGUUGCCAAGGGAUUGGGAUUUAAUAAGUGAAUCUAGGCUCUUUCUACCAAGGGAUUGGAGUUUGAGUAGUUUAGUAGAUUGACAUUGACAUAUUAAUGAAGAGGAAGUGAUUUUAUUUGCAUAAGAGUGAAGUCGGUGAAAGCAUACCCCCAACAAUACCAUUCCAUCUCAUUUUUAAUCUUACCAUUUCCAAGUGUUUGAGUGCUUAAGAUCACUUUUAUCAUUUAUGUUUUAUAGUUACUUUAAUUACGCAAAAACUCAUAUAAAAGGAAAUCAUUCUUUAGCCUAAGUUAGUGAGUUAAUUAUACAAUAGUAAAGUGUUAACCGAGUCUCUAAGGAAACGAUACCCGGUCUUACCGGUUUUACUACUUGAACGAUUUGGUACAUUUGCUAAAGUCACAACAGGUUGUUAGGAUUUAUCUGUUAAGAUUUAAUAUCUUGUUAGGAUUUAUUUAAUAUCUGUUAUGAUUUAAUAUCUUGUUAGGUUUUAAGAUCUUGUUUGUUAUUAUUUUUGUUUGUUAUUAUUUUGAGUAUAUUGCGGAUAGAUUAGAUAGAGUUAUAACUAUUUUUGUUGUAAUCUUGAUGUAUAAAUAUUUACAUCUGCAUUAUGCAGAAUUCAGAUAAUACGCAGACUAUUUUUGCUUCUCUGUUUUUCCUCUUAUAUAUUGCAAUCUCAAUAUUUGGUUUGAAUGAUGAUUCUCAUUAUUUAAGAAAACAACCAAAUAACAAAACAAAUCCUAAAUGCCAAAUAAAGUAUUUAAAAAAAAUUCAAACUUUCCAACAAUAAAGCACAUACAAGACGAAAUUUUGAUAAAAAACUUCGAAAAACAUUCAACUUUACCAAGACAAAACCUAAAUGCCCAAAACAUUUUAUAAAAAAUUAAAUCCAUCGAACAAAAGCUAACCAAUAGCGAAAUAAAUGGAAAAAGGCUUCAAAAACUAACCUCCAAUGGCAUUUUCUAGCUUGUGGUGACGGUAAACAGCGGAACGGUUGCAGUGAACAGUGUGUCUCCGACGCACUCCGAACUCCUUCAACGACGACGACGGUGACUGUUGGGUUAGUGCGACGGAGGAAGAAGACGAAAAUACUCCUAGACAAGAGAAAAAAUGUUCGCGAAACUGUCUUUCUCUAUUUUUGAAAACCACCAAAUGAACCUGCGAGAAACGAAAAUGAAAACCAUGUACUGCCUUAUAUUUUCACGUCAUUUUCUCAUUUUAAAAGAAUUUCCACUCGGCCCAAUCCUGUGACAUGUGUUUAAUGUUAAAAGUUUGUCAUUUGAUGGUAUCAAAGUAUUAUUAUCCUUAAUUUUUAAAUAAAAUUAAAGAUCCUAUACCCUAAUUUCAACCGUUCACAACCAUAAAACAUGUAAGAGCAAGGAAUUAUCUUCCCACACAAAUUCUUGAAGCCCACACAGUUCCACAUCUUUUAACCUCGAAACUCCUAAAGUCAUAACGCACAAAACAUUAAAACAUGAUCUCAGCAGAAAGUUGGAAACACUAACAUGCAGGGAAUCCACUAGAACAAAAAUGGACUGCAUGCAACACAAAAAAAGCAAAAACUGAAAAAGGCAUAUUAUUUAUUUUAUUUGGGAUUUUAAACUGUGGGUCUUGUAGAGUUCUUUCACAAUGACUCUAAUGUCUACCUCUGUUUGAAGAGAAGAUAAGAUUUGGGUGAGAUAUUGAGGAGAGAAGGGAUGAAAAGGUGAAAAAGAAAAGGCUAUUUGAAUGAGUUUUAUUUUUUUUUCUCUUCUGAGAUUGCAUAUUUUGUUUUCAAAAAAACAAUGAAGUUUUACUUUAAGGUUUGGAAUUUAAAAUAUGUAAACAAAAAAUGUGAUUAAAAAGAAAUUCUAUUUAAAAUAUAUAAUCAAUUUUUUUUAACAAAAGCUAGUUAUUAAAAAACCUAUAGAUAAAAUCGAAAACCAUUUUUAGCGUAUUUCUUUAUAUAAUUUUUUUAUUCUCUUAAUUUAUGAAAAAUCAUAAAAUUGUGUAAGUUUUAGCCCUUCAUAAUGAACUUCAUUCAUUAUUUAUAGAUUUGAAUAAAUUUUAACUAAUAAUUAAAAUUUAUUAACAAAAUAUAUCGAAUUUAAAAAAUUCUGAAGUACGAUUUCGUUAUAUAAAAUUGGCUUAUUUCUAAGUUUUGUCUCCAUUUUAUAAAUUUUUCAAUUUUAGAGUCUUUAAAUUUACAACAGAUUAAUUUUAUUAGAUUCUUAAAAAAUGUUGAUAAAUAAUUCAUAUUAUAAUAUGAUGAUGCAGAAGUUAAAAAGAAAAGCAAGUUAUUUUUUAAGUUCAUUUUUGCUACCAAAAACAUGUUCCCUUUAUUAUCUUUAUUGACCUAGUUUUUCUAUGGAAAUUUUCACUGAAAGCACAAAAAGACGCGAAAUUUAGGUUUGGUGAAUGUGAAGCAGAAGUUGUAUAUUGAUGGGGAUGGCUAGAAUCACUCUUUCUUCUAUGUCUUUAUCUUUUCUCAAUAUUCUCAUAAUCACCUUCACUUUCUUCAUCCAACCAAUUCCAGUCACUGCAGGUUUGUCUCUCUCAUUCCAUCAUUCAGAACUUUACGAAUAAUAUUUAAAUAGUAGAUACCUCGUAAAUAAAAAUGAGAUAAUUUUAUAUUAUGAUUUUCUUAGGUUGAAUUCCUGAAAUAUUACAACAAAUCAUAAGGGCUUCAAGUUUUCUUUUAUUCUCAUUUUGUUUAUCAAUAUUUUACUGUGUUAGGUUUUAUGUUAUAAAUAACACUGUGUAAGACUAAGAAAAGAUUUACCUGGAUGUUAUGGACAAUUAUAGAUUAUAAGAAUUGGAUAAUUAUUCAUAAUAAUAUUGUGCGUUCCUUCUUUCCAUAAUUGAAUGAAUUAAAUGAGUACGUAUUUACUUUUUACGUUAAUAAAAAAUUAAAAUAUAUUAAAAGAUUAUAUAUUAUAAAAUAAAUAUUUUGUUGACUAUUAUAAUAUUUUAAUUACAAUAUAAUUGAUGAUAAAUAUGAUUUACUAUAGGUAGAUCUUUUAGAAAUAAAAAGAAUUAACAUAAAGGAUAUGAGAACCUAAAAUGUAGUCUAAGAGUUGUAUUGUUUUUUUAAUGAUAAAUUGUUUAAACUAUAAAAUUUUAAUUGAAGUUUAUUUUAUGGUGUUAAGAUAUGUUAAAUAUUUUGUUAGUUAUAAUUUAUUUACGCAGAUAUCAUUUCUUUAAUAUAUGAGGAAACAUAGGAUCUAUAAUAUAUGAUACACUAAUCUAUGAAAUAAAUCAUCAGAAUUAUUUUUAAAACCUUUUAAUAUGGUAUCAGAGAAUAUUCUAGUGAUAUUUGUUAUUUGUUAGACAUAUUGUUUCACAUGUUAUGAGGUCGUUAUCGGACCAUCAUUAAUGUCUAGUCUUACGCGCUCAAGAUGUAUAUAUACAUUGAUGUGAAGGGUGUGUUGGAAGUUCCACAUCGACUAGAGAUAAGACCUAUUUAUAAUACAUAUGUGGAUGCAAACUUCUCCUUACAAGCUGGUUUUGUAGGAUUGAGUUACGUUUAAAGUUUACUUUUUAAUAUAUGUAAACCACCAUUUCUUUAGAUUUUUUUUUUAAUCUUUCUCUUUAUCUUCUUAGAUUUUGUUUACUUCAAUCAUUAUCCUUUUGAAGAUUAAGGACUGUAAAAAUGUUCUUAGUAAUGGGUUUUACGCAUUUAACCAAUCAAAGUAUGUUCUUUUGUCCUUUUUUAGAUGUUUUCCUAUUUAGGUUGUAUGUGGGUUGUAUGACUAUUGUAUGUGAUUCAAAGGCAAUCGAAGUGAAGCUCUAUUAUUAUGUGAUAAUUUCUGUUUACAUUUCUAAUUGGGGUUUUAAUAGUUUAGUUAGAUAUUUUGUGAGAAAAGAAACUCUAAUUGGGAUUUUAAUAGUUUAGUUAGAUCAUUCUAUGAGAGAAAAAAUUCUAAGAAGCAUAUGUGAAAAAAAAAUAUCAAUUUAACUAAGAAAAGUAUAAUUAAUCUUAAUCUCUACAUAUUUGAGUUAUAUUGUUUGAAUUAAUUAUUUGAUGUUCCUAGAAAUGUUUUUUUUUUUUUUCAAUUUAAGCAUAGGUUAAUAUGUUGAAAUUGUUGAAUUGGGAAUGUGAAAUUUGGAAUGAAUGAAAAUAAACAAUUUUGUUUGAGGAAUUGGCUGAUAGAGAAACAUUUUCUAUUAUACUAAAUUUGUGUUAACAAGUACGGUAAAAAUGGUCUAUUUAAACAAAUUUCACAAGCAGACUUGUUAAUCUUCAUAACACCAUUAAUUGGGUAUCAUCGAACGCUAGUUAGAAAAGUCAAGUGAGAUAACUCUAAUGAUUGGGUACACCCAAGACCACCUCCUCCACCCUUGCGGGCAACCCAAUUCAAACCACCUUAUCAAACCCCAACUUCACCUUCACCUCCACCUCGCAUUUAAAUGGCAUAAGAUCUUCAAUUAUUAAUCAUCUAUUCUCCUUCAUUCCAACACAUGCAUGUAUGUGCAACUUACAUUCAAAGGAGGAAAGACACUUUUUAUUGUAUAUUUUGGAUGACUUUGAUAAUAAUAUGUUGCUGUAAUUCUUCUUCAUUCCUCCUAGUUCAAACAAAAGUAUAAUUUUUAAUUUGGAAAUACUUGAUAUUACUUAAUUUUAGUAUAAGAUUUAUCCUCUGAACAAUAGGUAUAUCUUUUGUAUUACUGAAUCAAUUAAUUAUUUUUUAUAAAAUAAUAACAAAUAUGAAAUAUAUAAUAUUAUUAAAUAUGUAAUAUCAAAAGAAUCGUAUUCUAUUUUUUAAUAUCAAAUAUUUUAACAAAUGAAUGUCGAGCUAUGGCGGGGUAUGCAUUUGUGGUGGCUUCUACUGUUUUGCAAAGCCAUUGUGAAUAGGUUUCACCCUAUUACACUCACAAGGUUAGUCUGUGUCACGCCUUGGAUCAUAUUGGAAGUACUCAAGACUAAAACCUCCUACUACUCUCACCACAAAUGUCAAUCCUCUCUAUUUAAAAAUGAAUGAUCAUUAGAGUGUUAGGAUAAUUCCCAAGACUAAGUUGUUUGCAUUUAGACUAAUGAUACUUGAACCACACCAAGAAGUUCCACCGUGGAACUCAUUUUACCAACCGUGAAAUCAUUUGAAUCCAUAUGAAACCAUAUACAUAUAACAUUUCAUCAUUUACAUUGCAUACAAACAUAUAUAACAUUUAUUAUACUUCAAAUGAUCAUAAACUACCCAACAAGUCAUCAAAAAUCACAUGAAACCAUUCCAUAUACAUUAAUACACAAGAACAGUUCAAGAAGAACCACUAAACAAUACAAAAUUCCUUUAAACUCAUACUUAGGCAAGGAAAACAACUUUUAAAUCCUCACCAACUGUUCCGGAAGGAUCCAAAACCCCCAAAAUGACAUAAAAAACGUCCAAAACUGAUACCCAAAAUCUCGAAUUUAGUAUUUCCAAAACCUGAAAAAGAAAGCAAGACUGGUGUGAUAGGGUUCAGCGCCCAGAAGCUACCCCUUAACACUAGAGCCACUGCAGUGGUGGCAAUGAGCGCCAGAAAGCUGGCGUUCAGUGCUGAAGCCCCUGGAAUGGUGGCGUUUAGCUCUAAAAAAUUACCUCUAUGUGUCAUAUCAAUUGACAAUAUAUUGUUUUAAUGAACUUUAAUGCACUUGAGACUUGUUCUAAUGAUCAUCAAAUGGAGUUCUUACUCGAUAGAAUUAAUGCAAAAACAUAUUUAGAAUUUAAACAAAAUAUCAUUAGACUUAAAAUUAAGUACAUUAAAUUUAUUUGACAGCUCUAAAAAUACCUAAACUAAAAAACAACACUCUCUAAUAAUCCGUAUAUCAAUUUACCAUAUGCAUAAAUAAAUCUAAAUACAUUUGUUAACAUAAUCCAAUACCUGAGUUUCAUCCCCAUUAUCCUAUUUUCAAUUUCCAACACUUAAAACCUUCAAAAGUGGACUAAAAACUCAUCUUAUGAAGCAAUUAUCACUUCCAUAACAGAUUUGAGUGAUUUUAGUACCUAAACAAUUUUGUUUGAGGAGUUGGCUGAUAAAGAAAUAUUUCCUAUACUGGUUUAGUAUAUACUAAAUUUGUGUUGACGGUAAAACUGGUCUAUUUAAACAAAUUUCACAUGCAGACUUGUUGUUAAUCUUCAUAACACUAUUAAUUGUGUACCAUCGGAUUGCGUGCGUAGCUUUGGGCGACUUUUUUGGAACGUUGUCCCAUCACUGUUAUUUUAAAUUCCAACAGAAUAAUAUUUUAGCUAAGUGGCUCGUCCACCAGCACCAAUUUUUUUCAACUUUAUUCGCAACCAAUCAUUAUCUUUAUCUGUGCCUUUCCUUUCCAAUAAUUUUGGAUGAUGAUACUCAUCCAUUCCUGUUAUCGAUCGAGUGUAGGGCAUUUCAUUAUUGUGGUAGAAAAUUUAAAUGGAACUCAGUAUCAUUCUUAAACAACCUGUCACCUCACUACACUAACAUCAGUAACCAAUUAUCACCUUCACUCAAAUGUCAUUAAACAUGACAUUCAUUAUGCUUGAUAUAUUUAAGUUUAAAACUAUGUUGUACAAAAAUUAAUUUCAACAAGCACUCUCUAGCUUAAUCUAGUUUCUUUCAUUGUGUUGGUAUAGGUUGUAGUUUUUGUUCUAAUUUAAGAACUAUUUUUUUGAAAGUUUAGAAGAAGAUUCCCGAUAGUGAUAAUUUGGUAGAAAGAUAGAGCAAGAUAGAGAGAAAAAGACCUAAAUUAUUUUUUUAUUUGUUUAUGGCAGCCUUUGUAUAGGACAAGUGUCUUAAUAUGGAAUCAUGUAUAUUAAAUAUUGUCUAAUUUUGCAUUAAUUGGUAUAUAUUUAGAACAUGAAUGAAUUUCGAUCAAAUUGUGGAUGGAUGUAUGAUAAGUGUAAAAAAGGAAGAGGUAAUUUGAAAGAAUCUUUUACAUUGGGAGUCUAAUUAUUUGAUUUGAAUGGAUCAUGGUGAAUGAGUGUUAGAAUGUGAUUUAGAUAAUGGUUUAACUUGAAGGGGUAUGGAGAUGGAUGAUGAGCAAAAUGACCAAUUUAUAUCGAUGCAAGAUAAUGCUCUUAUACAACAUGAGGUGUGUCAAAUAUCGAAUUUAGAUAACAUGGAAAAGACUCUAAAUAAGUAACAUUUUGUUGGAUGCAAAUAGGCCAAUGUGUGAAGGGACAUCAAACUCCAAAUUAAUAGUUUGCAAGUCCAAUAACGGAUGCUUAAAUUUUAUUACAGAUAUGUUUGUAAAUAAAUUUGUAUGUAAUUAUUUAUAGAUAAAUUUAUAUAUAAUUAUCUACGAAUUUAUUUGUAAAUAGUGUUUUUUAUGAUCAUUUUACUUACCAAUUUUUAUUUGUAAGAAAUCUGGAAAUUAAAUUUUAUUUUCUGAUUUUUUGACUUAUAAUUUUUUUUUGUUGGAAAUAAUGUUUUUUUUUCUUAUAAUGAUAGAUUAAUAACAUUACCUGAUACUUUCCUUUUAUAAUAGCUUUAUCAUAUUGGUCAUUUACACAAUUCUUCGAACAAGAUUGGUCAUUUGCUUCAUUUACACAAUUCAAGUUCUUUCAAGUAAAUAUAAAUGGAAAUCUUGCAUGUGAUAAAAAAGUAUAUGGAUAGAUAAGAAUAAAAAGGUACAAGAGAUUAAUUUUAUUAGAUUCUUUAAAAAAAGUUGAUAAAUAAUUCAUAUUAUAAUAUGAUGAUGCAAAAGUUAAAAACAAAAGCAAGUUAUUUUUCUGUUUAUUUUUGUUACCAAAACGCGUUACCUUUAUUAUCUUUAUUGACCUAAUUUCUAUAAGAAAUUUCACUGAAAGCUCGAAAAGAUGUAAAAUUUAGGAUUGGUGACUGUGAAGCUGAAGUUGUAUAUUAAUUGGGUUUUGGUUUGAGCAUUAAACACACAGAAACUGAGAUGGCUAGAACCACUCUUUCUUCCCUGUCUUUAUUUUUCUGUAUUCUCCUCAUAAUCACCUUCACUUUCUUCAUGCUACCUAUUCCAGUAAGAGCAGGUUUGUCUCUGUCAUUCAAUCAUCCAAUCCUUUACGAAUAAUAGAUUUUGUAAGAUUAGAUUAGUUUUUAAAUUUAUUUUUAAUCAUAUAAUCAUAAUGACUUUGUAUGUGUAAAAGUAAGAUUUCUGAAAACUGUUAUGAUAUGAAUUUGCAGAUCUGAAAAACAGGGGUCCCAAGCCAAGAUCACCUCCAUCACCCACUAGUAGCUGGCCCGGACAUCCUGGUCAUCCUCCAUCCAACCAUGGCUGAAAUAUUACCACAAAUAGUAAGGGCUUCAAGUUUUCUUGGAUUCUCAUUUUGGUUAUCAACUUUUACUGUAUUAGGUUUUAUGUUAUAAAUAACACUGUGUAAGACCACGAAAGGAUUUACCCGUCCAUGUUAUGGAAUAUUAUAGAUUAUAAGGAAAUUAAAACCUUUUUAUUAUUCAUCUUAAUUUUUACUGGGAUUUUAGCAAACAAUUACUAAAAGUAUGGUUAGGAAUUGUAUAAUUAUUCACAAUAGUUUUGUGCAUUCCUUCUUUCAAUAAUUGAAACAAUUACUAAAUAUGAGUAUGUAUUUACUAUUUACGUUAAUAAAAAAUUAAAAAUAUAUUAGAAGAUUUCAAAAUAAUUAGUUAUAUUAAAUUUUAUAAUAUUUUAAUUACAGAUAAAGGAUUAAUUUUAAAGCUAUUGUUUAGAGAUAUUGGAUUAUUUUGAUCCAAAACAAAUUUAGAAAAUGUUUUCAAUUUGAAAAUCAAGAAUCAAAUAAUAAAUUAUGAAAUCAAUUUAGCAUUACGAAGAAAAAUAUCAUUACAUUAAAAAACAUUACAGAUAUAUACAUAAGUAGGAUUGCAUAAGAAUUUAAUGAAUUACAUCAAUUCCAACAUUAAGGAGUGUGAGGAAUAAUGUAUGUGGAUUGUAAUCAGUGGUACAUAUGAACUCAUAGGAAUAAUAUAUUUUUUAGAAAAGAAAAGUUGGAUGCUGAAAAGAUAUUUACAUUAGAAACCCUUAAGACAUGGGAUUGAAUUACCAAUAAGAACUCAAAAGCUAAAUUCUCUUAUUCGGAUUAAUUUUUUGCACAUCGAUAUGAAUUUAAAGUAUAUAUCUAGCUAGCUAUCUAAAGGGGGAAAAUAGAGUGGUGUAACUUUGUUUGGAUUAUAUCAACAAUAAGAGAGCAAUGAGAUAAAUCUAAGUAAAAGUUUUAUAUGGGUGCUAUCUAGUUAGCUUUUUCAUAACAGCAUGUGACUCUUUUUGGUCAAAUAGAUGAAUCUAUGAUCCAAGACAAAAUCAUGGUUCAAAAGAUUUCUUUUUAACCUUUUUCAAACAUUUGAUUUAAACUAUCUUUUGUAGAUAUGAUUUGACGAAUAACAAUUAAGAUGCUCACACUCUUAUUUGGAUCAUACUAAAAUAUUCUUUUAAAUCAAAUUUGACAUUCCUAAAGAAGAUAUUAUUUCUCUAAUUUCAUAAAUUCCACGUGAAAGCAAUCCACGUCUCCUCCAUAGCAUAUUCCCUUUAUGUUAUUUACUCGGUCAUUCGUGUUGUUCUAUGAGGGUUUCCAAGACUACCAAUCAAUUUUUAGUAUGAAAUUUGGUCUUAGGUACAAAGUAUAAGGAUGGCUAGAAGUCCUUUUUUGUGCUAUUGCCUAAAUACCUUAUUGCUUUUUAUAGCUUUAGGGACAAGUGGUGGCAUGUCUUCCAUUAUUUAUAAUUAAUAUUAUGUUGCAUAAUAUAUAUAGUGAAGAAGACCUACCACUUCCUCAUUCAUAUCAUGUAUUGGAAGUUUCACAGAAAGCUCAACAUGUUAAAUAUGAUGAAAACUAUAUACAUAAUUAAUCCUUUGUUUUAAAUACACAUAUAGAAUUUUCUAUUUAUAAUAGAAAAAAUAUGAGUUAAAUUCAAAAUACAAAUAAAAAUUAAUAACAAAUAAUUAAACACAAAAGAUAAAGAUAAAAAAUAAAUAUAAAAUAAAUAUAAUAUAUCUAACACAACUUAUUAUAAAGUGGCUGAUUACGAACAAGCAUCACAGAAAUCUGGUUUCAGCCUUCAAAAUACUCUGGUAUGGCUUGGAUCAGAGUUUCUUCUAAGUUUGUAUCUUUCCUUGUUCUGUUAGCAAUGGCAUUUUCUUUCUUUGCACAGCUUACUUCAGUUAGUGCAGGUUUGUGUAGCUACUACCUCUUUAAAAUAUGCAAACACAUAUGAACAACAUGUGUUUAGAAUUGUAAGAUCAUUAUCACUGUCAUUAGUGUUUGGUAGAUGAUGAUGAUGAAUUAAUUAGUGCAUGAAAGUGUUUAGCACGUAAAGUAAAAGUACAUGUUGUUGCAGGUAGAAGCAUAUUAGGUAUCUUGAAAAGUUUAUAAUUAACGUGAUAGCUGUGAUCUUGAUUUGCAGAUCCGAAAGUGAGAAAAUUGGGUGUGAUGCCAAGUCCACCUCCUUCACCUGCGCGUAAUCCAUCAUGGCGUACUCUACCUCCUCGUCUUCCUCCUCCAUCCAUUUAAAUUUUCAUUUUCUGCUUAUAUCUUGUCAUUGUUAGUGAAACCAAACUGAGUAUUUGGUCAGUCUUCUUGUGUUUCGUCUGUGUUUUGUAAUAAGCCAGGUUUCAGGCACCUUUUGUUAGUUUUGUAUUGUUUUCUGCAUAAUGUACGUUGUUCAGCAUAGUAUUUUACUGUUUGGUCUGUGUGUUGCACCCCUUUAAUAUAUAAUUAUCUUCUUUGUUGGGAAAAAUAUAUUAGGUUUUCUCUAUAAAUUACACCACCAACAUAUUUAUUUGGGAGACUGCUUGGAGAACAAAUAUGUAUCAAAAUAUAAUAUGAAAUUCUCAGAAAUAGAACGACGAGAAGCGGGAGACAACAUCAUUCAAAAGAUGUACAAAAUGGACGAAAGACCGAGUAAAACCCAUCUUCGUUUUUGGAGUCAUUAAAUCCAACUUUUGCCCAUAACAUUAUGAUAAUCUGCAUAUUAAUUGGUGUUACAAUCUUUUUAAAUGCUUAGUUAAAGGAAAAUCAUUAAAUAAUAAUUCAUUUUAAAGACUAAAAGUAAAUAAUGUUGUUAUCAUUAGUAGUUGUCGUUAUCAUUUAUUUAGUAUACUGGGAUUUAACACAAAUUUCACAUGCAGACUUGUUAAUCUUCAUAACAGCAUUAAUGGGGUAGCAUCAAACACUUAGAAAAGUUAAGUCAGAGAAUAAUAUUUUAGCUAAGUGGGUCGUCCACCAGCACCCUUUUUUAUUUAACUUUAUUAACAACCAAUCAUUAUAUUUAUCUGUGCCUUUCCUUUCCAAUAAUUUUGGAUGAUGACAGUCAUCCAUUCCUAUUAUCGAGAGAGAGUGUAGGGCAUUUCAUUAAUUUAAAUGGAAAUCAGUAUAAUUCUUAAACAACCUUUAAUAUCAGUAACCAAUUAUCACCUUCACUCAAAUGCCAUUAAAAUUAGACUCGUUCUUUUCAUCACUCCAAGAGUAUCAUUCUUAAACAUGACACUCAUUAUGCUGGAGCUAUUUAAGUUUAAAAUUAUGAUGUACAAAAUUUAUUUUAGGUUUGUUUAUGGAAGCCUUUGCAUAGGAUAAAUAUCCUAAUGUAGAGUUAUGUAUUAACUAUUAUCUAAUUUUUCGUAAAUUGAUAUAAAUAUAUAUAACUAUGAGUUCAUGAUAGGUGUCAUAAAGAAAAGUUGUUUUACAUUGAGAGUUAAAGUGUUUAUAAUCAAAAUUUGUAAAAAAGAUUGUUAUUAUCAUAAUGACCAGGAAGUUUGAUGUGCAUGUAUUAAGUGCGAUUCUACAGCAAUUUUGGAGGUAAGAGUUAUGAAGGUUCAUCUCUACAAACAUGAUUUCAAGUCUAAUUAUUUGAUUUGGACGGAUCAUGGUUAAUUUAGGCUAAAAGGGGAUUUAGAUAAUAGUUUAACUUGGAUGGGUGUGAAAAAGGAUGAUGAACAAAAUGACCAAUUUAUGUCAAUGUAAGACAUGGUGCAUGAUGUUCUUACACAAAUGAGGUGUGCCAAAUAUCGAACUAAGAUAACAUGAAAGAACUCUAAAUGAAAAAAACUCAGAUUUUAUAAUAUUUAGUUGGAUGCAAAUAAGUCUAUGUAUAAAGGGAUAUCAAACUCCAAAUUAUCAGUGUCAGAUCAUUAGCUUGUAAGUCCAAUUGAAAUAUUUCUAAGCGAUACUUAAAUUUUAUUGCAAAAAAUUUAUGGAUAAAUUUAUAUGUAAUUACUAUGAAUAAAUCCAUAUAUAAUUAUUUACGAAUUUAUUUGUAAGUAACUAUUGCUAUGACAUUUUACUUACUUGUAAAAAAUUUGUAAAUAAGAUUUUAUUUAUGGAUUUUAUGACUUAUCUAUAAAUUUUGUUUUUGGAGGUAAUGUUCUUUUUUUUUUUUUUUUGCUUAUAGUGAUAGCUUAAUAACAUUACCUGGAACUUUCCUUUUAGAAUAGCUUUUAUGGAUUGGCCAUAAGAAAAAAAAAGUACAAGAUAUUAAUUUUAUUAGAUUCUUUAAAAAAGUUGAUAAAUAAUUCAUAAUAUAAUAUGAUGAUGCAAACGUUAAAAACAAAAGCAAGUUAUUUUUCUGUUUAUUUUUGUUACCAAAACGCGUUACCUUUAUUAUCUUUAUUGACCUAAUUUCUAUAAGAAAUUUCACUGAAAGCUCAAAAAGAUGGCAAAUUUAGGGUUGGUGACUGUGAAGCAGAAGUUGUAUAUUAAUUGGGUUUUGGUUUGAGAAUUAAACACACAAAAACUGAGAUGGCUAGAACCACUCUUUCUUCCCUGUCUUUAUUUUUCUGUAUUCUCCUCAUAAUUACCUUCAGUUUCUUCGUGCAACCAAUUCCAGUAAGAACAGGUUUGUCUCUGUUACUGAAUCAUCCAAAACGUAAAUUAAAGAGGAGAUUUAUAAAUAGAUUUUGUAAGAUUAAAUUAGUUUUUAAAUUUAUUUGGAAUCAUUUUGUAAAAGUAAGAUUUCUGAAAACUGUUAUGAUAUGAAUUUGCAGAACUGAAAAUAAGGGGUCCCAAGCCAAGACCACCUCCUUCACCCACGCCUAACUGGCGCCCAGUUCCUGGUCAUCCUCCAUCCAACCAUGGCUGAAAUAUUACCACAAAUCGUAAGGGCUUCAAGUUUUCUUCGAUUCUCAUUUUUGUUAUCAACUUUUACUGUAUUAGGUUUUAUGUUAUAAAUAACACUGUGUAAGACCACGAAAGGAUUUACCCGUCCAUGUUAUAGAAUAUUAUAGAUUAUAAGGAAAUUAAAACCUUUUUAUUAUUGAUUUUAUUUUUACUGGGAUUUUAGCAAUCGAUUACCAAAAGUAUGGUUAGGAAUUGGAUAAUUAUUCAUAAUAAUUUUGUGCAUUAAUUCCUUCAGUGAUUGAAAUAAUUAUUAAAUAUGAGCACGUAUUUACUUUUUACGUUAAUAAAAGCUUAAAAAUAUAAGAUUAAGGGAAAAUAUCAUCAGACAAAGUUAAUAAAACAAGAAACAAAACAUAUAGGCGAAAGUAAUCCAAAAAGUUAAAGCCGAUGAUAGUGUUUAGGGAACAACUAAAGUAGAUUUCGACCCAAAUAUGCCCAAUGGAAUGCAAAAUAAACUUUAUACGUAGACUGGCUCAUUACAUAUAAAUGUAUUUGUUGAAAAAUAAAUUUUUACGAGAAAUGCAUUUAAAUAAGACAAAUAAAUAAAUAAAAUAUAUUUUUACUCUAAUUAUUUUUAGUUUAUUUUGGUUCACUGCUUCUGUCUUAAUUAGGAAAGUUGUUAAAAUUUCUUUUUAUUGAAAAAAAUUAUUUACAAAAAAUAGACUGGUUCACUAGUCAGUCAUGAAAUGAUGCUUCCACUAAAAUUAAAAUUGAUAAUCUCAGAAUUAGCUAUGCCAUUUUUUUUAUAAAUUUGAAAACAUAUUAUUAAUUAAAAUUAAGAACUUAAAGUAAAAAUGGAAAAUAUUUUGAAACUAUCAAUUUAUUUGUUCUUAAUUUAACAUUUAAAUAUUUACUUCUUAUUAAGAUUUUUCACCCUCCAUUUGAUUUAAUUUAAUGGACAAAGAUUAAUUUCUAAUUAGAUACUUAAAUUAAAUUAAAAGAAAACUACAAAUAAAGAUGGAAAGUAAGUUUUUUAAGUUGCUCUGAAAAUAGUUUCAUCUUUUCUCUUUUCUAUAUGUAACUCUACUUUUAAUGAUAAUUGUAAUAUCCCAAAAUAUGUGUAUAAUUCAUAUCAAGUGGAAUGCAACAUAUUAUAAUAACAGAAAGCAAUUAAGAGUAGUAGCAGAUGAAGUGUAUAUAAUACAGUCAUCCAAAAUAUGAUAUAAGCUCUACAUAUCAGCAUAGAGUCUUUCAAAAGGGAAAAGAGUAAAGAAGACUAAGUUAUACACAAACAAAAGAACUGAGCUACACUACUCUGCAGCAUCAGCAGUAUCAGGAACAUCUGGAACGUCUAGUAGCUGCUCCAGUGGGGCCUCUGAAACUUCUGCUCACAUCCAAUUAGGAUGAUCAUUGCAAAAGAAAACAAGCACAAACAAGACAUACAUCAAACAAAGCAAGGGUAAGCUAGAAUUCAAAAGAAUACAAAUCAAUUUAAAUUAAACAAGGUAAAAGAGACAUACAAGCAAUUGCAAUCAUAGAAGGACAACUUUAAUAGAUUAUGAGUUAUAGUUUUUUUAGGUAGCGUUAGACUUAGACUCGUCCGGACCCGGAAUAAAUAUCGAGCUAUGGCGAGUUAUGCACUUGUGGUGGCCUCUACUGCUUUGCAAAGCCAUUGCCAAUGGGUUUCACCCUACCACACACAAGGUUAGUCCGUUAUCACUCACCUUGGCCCAUAUACAAUGGAGACAACCAAGACUAGGACCCCCUACUGCUCUUCACUACAUGAACUAAUCUUCUCUAAGUGAGAUUGAAUAGUCAUUAGAGCUUUAAGGGAAACCCCCAAGACUGAGCUACCUAUAUUCAUUCCAGAAACUUAACUUAAUAUCACUCAUUCUUGGCCCAUAUAAAAUAGAGACACCCAAGACUGAGCUUCCUAUAUUCAUUCUCAAACUUAAUAUAAUCUCACCGCGAGAUACUACUUAAAUCAUUAUAUCAUAUUACACCACAUGGAACACAAUCAUUCUUUAGUUAUGUCACAAAAACAACUUAUACAUACUCAGACAUUAUAUAUUUUCACAAAACAUCACUUAUUAACACAAUUAUCUUUAUAAUCUUUAAUUACCCAUACUUAAGUAAUUCAAAUAGCUUGGAGACCCUCACCAAUGGCUCCGGAAGAGUCAAAACCCCCCAGAUUGACCUAAAGAACGUCCAGAAAUGAUACCCGGAACCACUAGAACCACUCAAAACUGUCCUGGAUGAUUUCCUGACAACAAUAAUCGAUUAUUGCAUAUAAUAAUCGAUUAUUACAUAUGAUAAUCGAUUAUUACACAUGAUAAUCGAUUAUUUAAGUGAACUUUGAAGAAAAUAUGAUGUUCUGACUAGAAUAAUCGAUUAUCAAGUGAGAUAAUCGAUUAUUCUUAUCAGUAUUUGACAACAACCUUAUUUUAGUGCAUCUNAGACACUUUGAUGAGUUUCAAACAAUCCUAGAUUGAUUUAUAUGAUGAUUUGAACUUGUCUAGAUGAUUAUAGCUAUUCUUAAUCUCAUUCUUUAAUGGUUAGGCAUUGAUUCAUACUCAAAAACUUAGAUUUCAACAACUUAAAGACUCACUCUCAUACCUAACACUUAGAAACUGUUUUGGACCAGUUUAGGGACUCUAACAGGUCCCAAUUUACUUACCUAGACCAUCCCAAUUGACCAAUUUAGCUCCCAACCCCAAUUGUCCAAUUUGACUACCUCACUUCCCUUAGACUAACCUAAAACACCAUAACCAACUUAUCUUUUUGUUUAAUAACUUGUAUAAUAUCAAUCAUAACACUUGAAUACUAAAUUUCAUCAUCACAUAUUACCCAUACCAGUUCCUAAUCAUCCUUUCACAGAUUCACAGUCUCAUAAGUCACACAUUUAUAGGCACAUACUCAACAUACAAUUUCAUCAAAUAUCAAUUCAAACAGGAACACCUUUCAUCUAACAUUUCACACAUGAAUCAUUCAUAAACAUCACUAAAUCUAAUUCAAUGCAUACAAUUAUUUCACAAUUACAAACCAAAAUCCUUGCUUCCCUUACCUCUGUUUCACAGCAUAGUAUGACAGAACCUUGCCCGCUCUCUUGCACCCCAAGAAAAUACUAGGAUUACCUAUAGAUCAUAAAUUGAAGAUGGAAAACAAUUUCUUAAUUUUCAAUUGAGCUAAGAAAUUUGAAGAAGAGAACUGUUAAACACAUGCAAGCAAAACUGUUGCAUGAUCACAGUCCAGAAAAUACAGGGAAAAUAGGGAAAACGCUUACCGGAGGAAAAACACCGAAUUGAUCGGUUGAAUUCGAAGCCUAUAACUCCAGGACUGCUUAGGUGCUUCCAGAUUGUUGAACAAUUGACUUAGUGAGAAAAAAUCCUAGAGAGAUUAGAGAGAGAAUGAAAGGGUUAUGUUUCUAGAGAGAAGAAGAAGAGCACGUUUGAAGAGAAGUAGUGUUCUAUCUGAUAAUGGGUUGAACUUAGAAAGUUUUAAGUUAAAAUUGUUUCACUAAUAAUGACUCAGCCCAUUGUGUUGCCACGAGUCCAACCCCAACUGCUCUCUUUUUCUCAGACUUUACAAUAAUACUUUUUAUAAUGUUUCCUUCAUAAAAAUAUUUUAUAUGAUAUUAUUUCUAUAAUUUCUUACGUUCAAAGUCUCACACAAUUUAGAGUUUAGAUAAAUAGUAAUUUAAAUAUAUUUUAUUUUUUUAAUUUUUGAGGUGUUUAACGAAAGUGUAAUAGAACUUCAAUUUACAAAAUCAACAAUAUUUAUAACGAUGUUAUCUCAAUGAAUUUCGAGAUUCAAAAGUCGAAUACUUAUUAAAAAAAUGAAUGAAAAAAAUUAUUCUAAGACGAAAUUUUGUAUAUUGCUUAGAAUGAUUAAGAGUUUAUAUACACAUAGAUACUUUUAAUGGUGACUUUUUGAAGUGGUACCAAUUAUAAAUAAUUCAUAUUGUAGUAUGAUUAUGCAAAAAUUGAAAACUAGUCAAUUUUUUUCUGUUGAUUUUUCCUACGAAAACGUGUUCCCUUUUUAAUUUUUCUGUAGGAAAUUUCAUCGAAAGCUCAAAGAGAAGCAAAAUUUUGGAUUGGUAACUAUGAAACAGAAGUCAUAUAUUAAAUGGGUUUAGGUUUCUAGAUUGAACACACAUAAAUCGAGGAUGGCCAGAAUCACUAUUUCUUUUAUGUCUUUGUCUUUCAUUAUUCUCCUCAUAACCACCUUCACUUUGUUCAUCCAACCAGUUCCAGUUAAAGCAGGAUUAUCUCCAUCAUUAAAUCAUCCAAUCUACUUGUGUUUUUUAUAUUAUUAUAUUAUCAUUCUCUAAAUAGUAUCAAUAUUCAUUUAAAAAAAGAAUCGUGUUGACUCUUUUUAAUAAAAAAUGAAAACUAUAUUGAAAUGAGAAAAAAAAAAUUCAAACACUACAUUAAAUAAUUUUAACGAAAAUUAGGAUAAAAGAGACCAUUAAAGCAAUAUGAUGAAAAUCUCAUCUCUCAUUAGGCAUCCUAUGUGAUUAUUAUUUUAUAUUAAUUCUUUUUUUUCAAUUAAAAAACUCAUAAUAAUUAUAAGGAUAAUGAUAUUUAGAUAAUAUUUUUUUGACAAUAUUUAAACAUUGAUUACGUGUCAAUCUGUGAUUGGUCAAAAAUUACUCCACAAUCAAUAAUAAUAAUCAUAAACAUUACAUUAUUGUGGAGUAAUUUAAAUCAUAAAUAUUAUUGUGGAGUAAUUUUUGACCAAUCACAGAUUGACAUAUAAUCCAUGUUCAAAUGUUGUCUAAAUAUCAUUAUCCUAGUUAUAAAUGUAUAAUAAUUAAAUUUGAUUGAAAUAUAUGUGUAUAUUAUUGAGAUGAUGAAAGUUGUUUAAAUUUGUAGAUUUGAAGAUGAGAAAGUUGGGUGUUCAAUCAAGCCCACCUCCUCCACCCAGUUUAGGCUCACAAACACAUGUUAGACGACGAGUUAUUCCUUCACCUCCACCUCCGAUUUCCAUGGCAUAAGAUCUUCCAUUAUUAAUCAUCUAUGCUCCUUCAUCUACUUUCUUUCUAUCAUUUCUUUCACUGCUUUAUUUUAUACACUAUCCACUUUAAUGUAUAAUAUAAAUAACAUUAUUAUGUCAAAGUUUCAUUCCAACGUUCAAAAGAGGAAACACACUAUUUAGUUUAUACUUUUCCUACCUUUGAUAAAUUGUACUUCCUCCUCCUUCAAAUAAAACAAUAAUUAUUUAAUUUGAAAAUGCUCAAUAUUAUUUAAUUUUAUUAUAAGGUUUAUUCUCGAUCAUCUCCAUCGAAUAAUAAGUAUACAUGUUGUUCAUACAUGUCUCCAUCGAAUACUAAGUAUACAUGUUGUUGUUCAUACAUGUCUGCUUGAAUAUUAAUUAAUUAAUUAAUUUUUUACAAAAAUAACAAACAUAACAAAUAAAACAUAAUAUUAUCUUAUAUUUAAUAUAAAAAACUGUAUUAUCAUUUUUUUAAUAUCAAAUAUUUUUUUAAAAAAAUUAUAAAUGUAUAAAUUUCAAAUUAAAAUAUCAAAUAACAAUUAGAUAAAAAUGAAAUAAUUAUAAAAUAUUACACAUUAAUAAAAUUUUAUUACCAUCAAAAUAAUUGUUAAUUCUGCUAAUAUUAAUAAAAUAAAGUGUUGAGGUUAAAAAAUAAUUUUGAAAAAUUAUAAAAAAAAAUUCAAGUUUUAAAGUGCUUCAAAUAUUUCUUUUUAAAUUCUAAUAAAAUGUCUAUAUUUUUAUACACUAAUAAAGAAAUUAACAUUUACCUAUCUCAUUAAUAUAUUAUCUGAAUAUUCUCUAUAUGAUUUUUAUUAUGCAAUGAAUAUUAUAUCAAAAGUUAAUCUAAAUUAACUCUUUACAUCAUGAAAUGUUGAGGUUCUAUUUAAACAAAUGAUUUUUCAAACUAUAUAUCAAAAUAUAAUUUUUUUUCCUUGAGUUUGUUUCAACUAAUCAUUUUAAUGAUAUUGUUUAGGGAUAUUGGAUUGUUAUGAUCCAAAACAAAUUUAGGAAAUGUAAAAAGUAUAGGAUGAAGUCAGAAGACAGCUAUUCUAUUUUUUUGGGACAUCGUGUCUUAUGUCUACUAGAAUAUUUAUAUGAUAAUUAAUGAAACAUAUAUUUACUUUUAUGAGAAGUGUUCAGAUGUAAAGAUUGUGACUCUAGGGAUGUUUAAUUAGUUCAAUCCUUCACUUCUUUUUUCUUUUUUCUUUUUUCUUGUAUAAGAGUUGAAACAUCCCAAGAACUUUAUUUAAUAUAAUUCUUCACUUAUAAAAAAAUCAUUGAUAGCAAAAUAAUGACAAAAUGUUUUAAUUUUUUUUAAAUAUUAAUAAAUUAUGGUGAUCAAAUAACUAAAACUAAGAAAAGAAGAAGAAAAAGGUCCUAGUUAUUAAACUACUAUAAUAAAAUAAAUGUUACAAAUUAAAACGUAAAGAAUUUGAAGAUGCACUGUUGAUGCCUUUCCGCAGAGCAGAUUUUUAAAUUUGAAUUAAACUGGAAUUAACAUAAUUGGACCCUUUAAACGGUUGAAUUCAUAACACCGUUGUCAAAGAUUGGUAUCUUCAUGGAAAAACCAAUAGCAACUAAUUCAUAUAUUUUAACGUUACGACUACGCAAUUUUUCUCAUUUGAUUAUUGACUUCUGAAACUAAUAUUAAGAGCUCUGAUUUUCCUUAUCUUCAUCGAUCCUGCUUUUCACUUGAAAAAAUUCUUAAAGUCAUCCCUGUUACAUUUUCUCAAUCAAUUUUAAGUACAAAAUCAAAGAAAAAAAAAUUAGGGUUUUCUAUAAAUUUCUCUGAAUUUCUGAAUCUGAAGCAACAUGUGGAAUAAUAUAAAGUUUCACCGUUGUGAGAGAUGGCUAACAUCUUCAGUCUCUCAUCAAUCUUUGCACGUUUGCUUCUGUUAACGAUAGCCUUUGCUUUGUUUAUGCAGUUGAGUGUUGGUUCAGGUUAGUCUUCGUCGUGAAUCAUGAAAAUGCAUAGAAGAAUAUCAUCACGAUCACUUCCCCCACCUAUAUGCUGUUCAUUUUUUUGGACAAAUUUCCGUAUCAUAAAAACGUAGGAUUUUGAUCAUUCUGGAUAAACGUUUUGAACCGUUGACAUCAUCUUGUUGUUUUAAUUUGCAGAUCUGAAUAUGAGGAAACUGGGUGUAUUGCCAUCACCACCUCCGCCACCACGUCGAAACUCAGCACCAGGGCCUGCAAGAUAAAUUAGGGCUACCAUGACCAAGAAAAUUUUCAUGUUAUUCUUGUUCCAUAAAUAAAUAUUCCCUUAUUUUAGAUAUAAUUGCAAGAUAUAUAUUUUAUUUAUAUUUUCGACUUAAUAAAAGAUAUAUAUAAUUAUCUUCUUUAGCGUGACGAGAGAAAAUAAUUCCAUAUGAAAAAUUUUCCUUUCUGAUCCCAUGAUUCUCUUUAUGUGAUUGUUUAGGAUAACUAAUGGAUCUACUCACAAGUCUAAAGGCAAUUUUUUCUUCUCUAUUGUGGCAAAUAAAUCUACCAACAGUAUAUUUGAACAAGUUUCCAUCAACUGAACCUUCGUACUUACCAUUUUUAAUUUCACGUUUACCUCAGUUGAAGUUUCUGUAGAAUUACACUAGUCCAACAUAUUAAAUUUCUUUAGUACCUUUGAAAUGUACUUCUUAUUGUGCAUAACAAUUCCCUUUUAAAGAAACUACAAUCCUAAAAAAUAUGAUAGGAUUCUAAAAUUUGUCAUUUCAAAUUCUUUCUUAAAACUUUGUUUCAAGAAAAAAAAAAUUAUCUAUGAAGUUUUAUCAACAAAAAUAAAUUGGUUGGUAAAUUUAAGUCAACGAUAAAUUUUUAAAAUUUUAAUUAUUGAUGAAUUUAUUUCAUUGAUAUAUUAUAUAUUUUAUUUAUUAAAGAUUUUUCUGUUGAUAAAUUAAAUUUGUCUUACUUAUUUUAUUGGUAAAAUUCAUCCAUAAAAAAAAUAAAAAAGCUUUUGCCCAUCUUUUCUCUCUUUUUCUGCGAGCCACUCGUUAUCCAAUCAUAAUUAUCCAAUUUCUAACCAUACUUUUGGUAAUUGAUUGCUAAAAUCCCACUAAAAGUAAAAUCAAUAAUAAAAAGAUUUUAAUUUCCUUAUAAUCUAUAAUUGUCCAUCCACCCAGUGUAAAUCUUUUCUUGGUAAUACACAUUGUUAUUUAUAACAUAAAAUCCAAUACAGUAAAAGUUGAUAAAGAAAAUGAGAAGAAAAGAAAACUUGAAGCCCUUAUGAUUGUUGUAAUGUUUCUGGAAUUCCUAUGUUCCAGGAAUUAUUUACGUGUGUAUUGGAUCGCCAAGAUUGGGUGUAGGAGGUGGACUUGCCAUGGGACCCCUAGCUGCAAAUUCAUAUCAUCACAAUUUUUAGAAAACAUAUUUUACACAUUCAAUAUGAUAUUAUACUAUUAAAAAAUAAAAUUAAAAUUUAAUUUAAUCUUAUAAAAUCAAUAUUUAAUUUUAUUUAUAUUAUAAGAAUUGUCUAUACUUAUUAUUCAAAUAUUUUUUGUAAAGUUUUAGAUGAUUGAACGAGAGAGACAAACCUGCUCUUACUGGAAUUGGUUGGAUGAAGAAAGUGAAGGUGAUUAUGAGGAGAAUACAGAAAGAUAAAGACAGAGAAGAAAGAGUGGUCCGAGCCAUCCCAAGUUUGUGUGUUCAAUGCUGAAACCCAAACUCCAUUAAUAUACAACUUCUCCUUCAGAGUCACCAAACCUAAAUUUUCCUUCUUUUCGAGCUUUCGGUGAAACUUUCCAUAGAAAAAUAGGUCAAUAAAGAUAAUAAAAUACACACCAAACCUCAUUGAUGCCGGUC
RNAcentral lists this long non-coding RNA (41210 nucleotides) under Vigna radiata. RNAcentral's name for it is "long non-coding RNA (VRAD_LNC000207)". The record is from RNAcentral. Lineage: Eukaryota; Viridiplantae; Streptophyta; Magnoliopsida; Fabales; Fabaceae.